UGGGGAUUUAUCUGGCCGCAAGGGCUUGUUUCAAUUGUUGCGAUGCGACUGACAUGAGAUGGGCGGUGACUUUCAAUGCAGUCCAACUUUGCAAGUGGCAUUCGCGUUGCAGCGUCAUGAAUACCCGCCUAGGAUUUAAUUUCUGGCCUUGUUUACUUCGUUGGCUGUGUACCGAGAUUUAGGACCGUGUCCUCAGCGGCGAGAGGCAUUGACAGCUCAAGAUGACAGCCGGUCUCCAACGAACACCAACGGCCGACGGAGGCAGUCGAACACACCGAAGUGUUCCUGCUUGCGUCCGAUGCGGAUGGACAGCACCGCCUGUUGUGCCACCAUCACCGGGCGGAACCGCAAGAAAUCCGCUGCAAGUGUGUGGCAGACUACCACUGUCGUGACACGUGUGUCUGCCAAUGCUACGCCGCGCCACCAUCUGAUCCUCGAACGGCUAUUUCAUCAUGCCGUCGCCAUCUGACUUCAGCGGUCCGAUGAUCGCAAGAUCAUCACCACGGCGCAGCCCGACGUCACAACUACCACGUGCGGAUGUUGCGCCCUGUGGCGGGACGGGACGUGGGUGUCCAUCAAUCGUGUCCGCUGCAUCGCCUCGGGGGGACCGGUGGGCUGUUGCGUCUGGUGGACCUGUGCAACUCCACCGCUGUGUGUGUGUCAUGUCAUGCGAGCCGCCCCGUGCAAUCCGUCCGCUAAGGCUACGUACCGAGGCUAAUAUCCACUAUGUUGGCCGAUUGUCGUCAUUGCUUGACCGGCAAUUUUCGAUCGACUAGCCUCUCUGCGACUCCAGAUCGCUAUAACCGCUCUUUUGUAGGCAUCAGCCAUGUAAGUGGGGUGCGGUAGCGCCUGAACAGUACCUCGGCCGGGCGCCACGUAUGCACCGGUGGUAACAGCCACUCUUAUUUUCAUCAAUGUCGGGCAUUCGAAAUGCCGAAACAAUAAUCUGACAGGCAAAGGCCCGUCCGCACCUUGCAGACCGUGUGAGGACUCCGUUGCUGAUGCUGGAGCCAGUCGGCUCUUGCUAACUAGAUGCAUCACAUUAAAGGCCGCCGGCCGAAAACGCUGGUGGAGAGCUCAAUGAUGAAAAGUGCUCAAAAGAGCCCAAAAUGCGAGCGCUACACUAGGCUGUCAAGCCCCUUCUCAACGUACAGAUAUGCACUAGAAGGGAGUGCUCCACAUUUGAAUGCGGUUUUCCAUUUUAAAUGGCUAUACUGGCGACAUCUUGAUGCAGGUCAGUACCAUGCCCCUUUAAGACGAGAAAAACUUUGAGCCCUGAACUUAAAGGCCGCAAAGAUGUGGAAGAGUGAUGGCUGGAAAAUAUGUCAAGGUCGCCGUGACAUUCAUGACGUCAUAAUCAAGUCAUUGAAAUCAUGCCAUUCCGCAAGGCAUGCGGCGAUCAGGGCUCAGCAAACUAUAAUGAACAAGUCGUUCAUAUCUAGCGUUCGUGAGGACGGGUUCCAGAUGCAACAGCUGUCAACUGGCCCUCAAUUAAUGUUUUGAAAGGUACGAUGACGUAAUUCAAACAAUGACGCACAAAGAGGCACAAUUAUUAAACGGAGAUUGUGUUGUAUACCUAAGCCUUCUCCAGUUAAUAAUAUAUCAAUAGUUCACCAUA
This is a long non-coding RNA of Pollicipes pollicipes, 1618 nucleotides long. RefSeq lists it as uncharacterized. The transcript is spliced from 2 exons. NCBI's taxonomy places the organism in Eukaryota, Metazoa, Arthropoda, Thecostraca, Pollicipedomorpha, Pollicipedidae. The record is from RefSeq and is a predicted model, not a curated record.